RNAcentral lists this ribosomal RNA (326 nucleotides) under uncultured bacterium. Its description in RNAcentral is "bacterial SSU rRNA". It matches the Rfam family "Bacterial small subunit ribosomal RNA", at positions 28 to 365 of the family's 1533-position model. The record is from RNAcentral.
GAUGAACGCUGGCGGCGUGCCUAAUACAUGCAAGUUGUGCGGUAACAGAGAGAGCUUGCUCUCUGCUGACGAGCGGCGGACGGCAGAGUAACGCGUAGGAACAUACCCCAAACUGAGGGAUAACUGCUCGAAAGAGUAGCUAAUACCGCAUGUGGUCUCGGAUUAAAAGCUUCGGCGGUUUGGGAGUGGCCUGUGUCCGAUUAGCUAGUUGGUGAGGUAAUUGCUCACCAAGGCGACGAUCGGUAGCUGGUCUGAGAGGAUGAUCAGCCUGACUGGAACUGAGAACGGGUCCAGACUCCUACGGGAGGGCAGCAGUAGGGAAUUUU